UCCGGAUGUCCGCAUGCGCACUGCUCGCCUUGCCGGCCCGUAUCUCAGUGGCGCAUGCGCGCCGAGGCCGGUCGUCAGCGGGAUUUGUUGUCGGCGUCAGGCAAAGUUCUUAGAGCAGAUCUUUGGCCUCAGGUGUGAGGCGUUACCGCGGUCUGUCCGCCCAACAAUUCGGGCUCUGGGACGUGACGGGACUGGAAACGGUUCCCCAUCCCCCGAGCAGACUCGGCCUUGCUGAACAACCCACUGCAGUCCAUCAGUUGGCAUAGAUAAAACGUUUACUUAUUGGGAAAGACUAGGAAUUAAAAAACUUGGAGAUCUCUACGAGAUGGGAAAUCUCCUGUCAUUUCAGAAAUUACAGUCGGAAUACAAUCUGAAAGCAGGAAAACCAGAGCAAUUUUCGAAGACCUGGAUUCCAUUCAUCGAUUCAUUACAUGGAUGGUAUGGUGCAACACAAAUUCGGAAUUAAACCGAUUUAUGGGUUGGGUGAUGGGUGGGGAGAGAUAUGAAGCAGGUAUAUCAUCACUCUUUGUUUUUCUUUCUGUUUUUGUCAUUUUAUUUCUUUACGUUCUCAUUUUUUUGUACUUACUCUUCGACUACACUUAUUUGGUAGUCAUGGGGUUCUAUUCUUACACAUUCUCUUUCAUUUUCUCUCUUGCUUUUUCUCUUUUUUUCUAUUUCCUUAGCUAAAAAUUAAAAUUGAAGCUGUACAAUAAAUGUAUUAUGUCAUAUGCCGCUGUUUAUACUUUUGUACACUGCUUCAAAUAAAAAAUUUAAAAAAAGAAACAGUACCUGAUAACUGUACUCGAGCUCACCUCAUGUAAGAAUGAACAAUUCAAUUGUUCUACAAAAUUUCCACCCUGUUCUCAAUUUUGCAUGCUCUCAAUCUGACCCUUUUUUUGGGCUUCAUCUCCAUCCCAGGGGAUGUAUCCAGGUCCACAGACUCCCAUAGCUACCUACCUUGGCCACUUUCUCCGAUCCUAUUUCCUGUGACUACAUUUUGUGUACCCGGUUUCUCCAGCU
This is a long non-coding RNA of Leucoraja erinaceus (little skate), 1020 nucleotides long. RefSeq lists it as uncharacterized. The transcript has 3 exons. Lineage: Eukaryota; Metazoa; Chordata; Chondrichthyes; Rajiformes; Rajidae. The record is from RefSeq and is a predicted model, not a curated record.